This 445-nucleotide ribosomal RNA is filed under the name uncultured bacterium. Its description in RNAcentral is "bacterial SSU rRNA". It matches the Rfam family "Bacterial small subunit ribosomal RNA", at positions 355 to 825 of the family's 1533-position model. The record is from RNAcentral.
UGGGGAAUCUUGGACAAUGGGCGCAAGCCUGAUCCAGCCAUACCGCGUGAGUGAAGAAGGCCUUCGGGUUGUAAAGCUCUUUCAGACGGAAAGAAACGGUUACGGCUAAUACCCGUGACUAAUGACGGUACCGUAAGAAGAAGCACCGGCUAACUACGUGCCAGCAGCCGCGGUAAUACGUAGGGUGCGAGCGUUAAUCGGAAUUACUGGGCGUAAAGCGUGCGCAGGCGGUUUGGUAAGACAGAUGUGAAAUCCCCGGGCUUAACCUGGGAACUGCAUUUGUGACUGCCAGACUAGAGUGUAGCAGUGAAAUGCGUAGAUAUGUGGAGGAACACCGAUGGCGAAGGCAGCCCCCUGGGUCAAGAUUGACGCUCAUGCACGAAAGCGUGGGGAGCAAACAGGAUUAGAUACCCAAGUAGUCCCUGAGCGGGCUGGCAAGGCGCAU